RNAcentral lists this ribosomal RNA (253 nucleotides) under uncultured bacterium. Its description in RNAcentral is "partial 16S ribosomal RNA". It matches the Rfam family "Bacterial small subunit ribosomal RNA", at positions 524 to 776 of the family's 1533-position model. The record is from RNAcentral.
UACGGAGGGUGCGAGCGUUGUCCGGAUUUACUGGGCGUAAAGCGCGCGUAGGCGGCUUUGUAAGUUAGAGGUGAAAGCCCGGAGCUCAACUCCGGAACUGCCUUUAAGACUGCAUCGCUAGAAUUGUGGAGAGGUGAGUGGAAUUCCGAGUGUAGAGGUGAAAUUCGUAGAUAUUCGGAAGAACACCAGUGGCGAAGGCGACUCACUGGACACAUAUUGACGCUGAGGUGCGAAAGCGUGGGGAGCAAACAGG